GAUGGAAAGAACUUUGAAAAGAGAGUGAAAAGCACUUGAAACCGUCACGGGGGAAGCGGAUUGCGUGAGUGAUGGUGUCGCUUGUUCAGCGCUUUAUUGCGUGCAUUCUGGCGGCGCCGUGCCGGCGUGGCUGGCUGGACUGUGAUUUUGACAGUUUCGGCUGGUGAGGGCUCCCUCGUAUGAGGUGAGGACGCGGGCAAAAUGACGCAAUACGACCCGUCUUGAAACACGGACCAAGGAGUCUAGCACGGCUGCGAGUCGAAGAGUGAUUAAACUCAAGGGCGCAGUGAAAGCGAAAUUAUAAGCAAAUUGGGGAGGCGUUGCGUUUUUAACAAAAUGUCCUACCUCGAGCAUUUGUGCUGGGACCCGAAAGAUGGUGAACUAUGCCGGAGUAGGGCAAAGCCAGAGGAAACUCUGGUGGAGGCUCGUAGCGAUGCUGACGUGCAAAUCGCUCGUCGAACUUGGGUAUAGGGGCGAAAGACUAAUCGAACCAUCUAGUAGCUGGUUCCCUCCGAAGUUUCUCUCAGGAUAGCGGGCCGACACGCGUUUGUUGUUUUGUGC
Molecule: ribosomal RNA, 561 nt
Filed under: Halosaccion americanum
Lineage: Eukaryota; Rhodophyta; Florideophyceae; Palmariales; Palmariaceae
Description: eukaryotic LSU rRNA
Rfam family: Eukaryotic large subunit ribosomal RNA
Source: RNAcentral